RNAcentral lists this ribosomal RNA (199 nucleotides) under uncultured bacterium. RNAcentral's name for it is "partial 16S ribosomal RNA". It matches the Rfam family "Bacterial small subunit ribosomal RNA", at positions 328 to 538 of the family's 1533-position model. The record is from RNAcentral.
ACGCUCGACACCUACGGAGGCAGCAGUGGGGAAUAUUGCACAAUGGGGGAAACCCUGAUGCAGCGACGCCGCGUGAGCGAAGAAGUAUUUCGGUAUGUAAAGCUCUAUCAGCAGGGAAGAAACUGACGGUACCUGACUAAGAAGCACCGGCUAAAUACGUGCCAGCAGCCGACGUAAUCUGAGGCGGGCUGGACAAGGC